This 497-nucleotide ribosomal RNA is filed under the name uncultured bacterium. RNAcentral describes it as "partial 16S ribosomal RNA". It matches the Rfam family "Bacterial small subunit ribosomal RNA", at positions 28 to 507 of the family's 1533-position model. The record is from RNAcentral.
GAUGAACGCUGGCGGCGUGCCUAAUACAUGCAAGUCGAGCGAACAGACGAGGAGCUUGCUCCUCUGACGUUAGCGGCGGACGGGUGAGUAACACGUGGAUAACCUACCUAUAAGACUGGGAUAACUUCGGGAAACCGGAGCUAAUACCGGAUAAUAUAUUGAACCGCAUGGUUCAAUAGUGAAAGACGGUUUUGCUGUCACUUAUAGAUGGAUCCGCGCCGCAUUAGCUAGUUGGUAAGGUAACGGCUUACCAAGGCGACGAUGCGUAGCCGACCUGAGAGGGUGAUCGGCCACACGGGAACUGAGACACGGUCCAGACUCCUACGGGGGGCAGCAGUAGGGAAUCUUCCGCAAUGGGCGAAAGCUUGACGGAGCAACGCCGCGUGAGUGAUGAAGGUCUUCGGAUCGUAAAACUCUGUUAUUAGGGAAGAACAAAUGUGUAAGUAACUAUGCACGUCUUGACGGUACCUAAUCAGAAAGCCACGGCUAACUACGUG